GCUGGUGCUGCUCAGCCUGCGGCAGCGGAUCAGUCGUAGUGCAGACGCCGACAUUUGCGGCUUUACUCGCAGAUAUCCGACAAGAACGCACAUCAGAUGACACCCAAAAACCGGAAAAUAUUCAGCAAGUUGUUGAUGUGGUGCUAAGCGGCUUCAUGGUGCAUCUAUAAAGAAGGCAGGUGGUGGGGUCUGGCCAGCAUGGAAGCCCCUAAGGUUGCUGUUGCUCCAGAAGGAAUCUGGUCUGUUCCUGGCUCUGGGUGGAGUAAUCAUAGAACUCACAGUGUUG
Long non-coding RNA from Triplophysa rosa, 286 nucleotides. RefSeq lists it as uncharacterized. Lineage: Eukaryota; Metazoa; Chordata; Actinopteri; Cypriniformes; Nemacheilidae. The record is from RefSeq and is a predicted model, not a curated record. The transcript is spliced from 3 exons.